UCGAGUCUUUGAACGCAAGUUGCGCCCGAGGCUAUCCGGCUGAGGGCACGCCUGCCUGGGCGUCACGC
Molecule: ribosomal RNA, 68 nt
Filed under: Ornithogalum perdurans
Lineage: Eukaryota; Viridiplantae; Streptophyta; Magnoliopsida; Asparagales; Asparagaceae
Description: partial 5.8S ribosomal RNA
Source: RNAcentral